UACGAAGGGUGCAAGCGUUACUCGGAAUUACUGGGCGUAAAGCGUGCGUAGGUGGUUCGUUAAGUCUGUCGUGAAAGCCCCGGGCUCAACCUGGGAAUGGCGAUGGAUACUGGCGGGCUAGAGUGCGGUAGAGGAGAGUGGAAUUCCCGGUGUAGCAGUGAAAUGCGUAGAGAUCGGGAGGAACAUCAGUUGCGAAGGCGGCUCUCUGGACCAGCACUGACACAGAGGCACGAAAGCGUGGGGAGCAAACAGG
Molecule: ribosomal RNA, 253 nt
Filed under: uncultured bacterium
Lineage: Bacteria
Description: partial 16S ribosomal RNA
Rfam family: Bacterial small subunit ribosomal RNA
Source: RNAcentral